GACAGAGGGUGCAAACGUUGUUCGGAAUUACUGGGCGUAAAGCGUGUGUAGGCGGUCCACUAAGUCGGGUGUGAAAGCCCUGGGCUCAACCCAGGAAGUGCACUCGAAACUGGCGGGCUAGAGUAUCGGAGAGGUUGGUGGAAUUCUCGGUGGAGAGGUGAAAUUCGUAGAUAUCGAGAGGAACACCGGUGGCGAAGGCGGCCAACUGGACGAAUACUGACGCUGAGACACGAAAGCGUGGGGAGCAAACAGG
This 253-nucleotide ribosomal RNA is filed under the name uncultured bacterium. RNAcentral describes it as "partial 16S ribosomal RNA". It matches the Rfam family "Bacterial small subunit ribosomal RNA", at positions 524 to 776 of the family's 1533-position model. The record is from RNAcentral.